GCUAAACGCGAAGAACCUUACCAAGGCUUGACAUGCACGGGAAGCCACCAGAGAUGGUGGUCUCUUUGGACACUCGUGCACAGGUGGUGCAUGGUUGUCGUCAGCUCGUGUCGUGAGAUGUUGGGUUAAGUCCCGCAACGAGCGCAACCCUUGUCCUUAGUUGCCAUCAUUAAGUUGGGAACUCUAAGGAGACCGCCGGUGACAAACCGGAGGAAGGUGGGGAUGACGUCAAGUCAUCAUGGCCUUUAUGGCCAGGGCUACACACGUGCUACAAUGGCAGGUACAGAGGGAAGCCAACCGGCGACGGGGAGCUAAUCCCAGAAAGCCUGUCUUAGUCCGGAUUGCAGUCUGCAACUCGACUGCAUGAAGUUGGAAUCGCUAGUAAUCGCAGAUCAGCAUUGCUGCGGUGAAUACGUUCCCGGGUCUUGUACACACCG
RNAcentral lists this ribosomal RNA (437 nucleotides) under uncultured bacterium. RNAcentral's name for it is "bacterial SSU rRNA". It matches the Rfam family "Bacterial small subunit ribosomal RNA", at positions 954 to 1392 of the family's 1533-position model. The record is from RNAcentral.